UAACACGUGGAUAAUCUGCCCUUAGGUGGAGGAUAACCUCGGGAAACUGAGAAUAAUACUCCAUAGGUCUAGGAUGCUGGAAUGCACUUAGGCUGAAAGCUCCGGCACCUAACGAUGAGUCUGCGGACUAUCAGGUUGUAGUCAGGGUAAUGACCUGACUAGCCUACGACGGAUACGGGUUGUGAGAGCAAUAACCCGGAGAUGAUAUCUGAGACACGAUAUCAGGCCCUACGGGGCGCAGCAGGCGCGAAAACUUCACACUGUGCGACAGCACGAUUAGGGAAUCCCAAGUGCUUGCUCACAAGAGUAAGCUGUUUCUAUGUUUAAAAUGCACACAGAGUAAGGGCUGGGUAAGACGGGUGCCAGCCGCCGCGGUAAUACCUGCAGCUCUAGUGGUGAUCGCUA
Molecule: ribosomal RNA, 405 nt
Filed under: uncultured archaeon
Lineage: Archaea
Description: bacterial SSU rRNA
Rfam family: Archaeal small subunit ribosomal RNA
Source: RNAcentral